CUCACGCAGCCAUCUCUUCCUCACCCAUUCUUCCAUCCAAAAUCUGAGAAAAGAAAUCGCAAAUACCGUGAGUUCAACAUCCAAUCUGCUGUUAUUUUCUUAUCUUCUUCCACAAAGUUUGAGAGGAGAAACCGAGACUUAUCAUGAAAUCAAUUCUCCUGACUAGACAAUUUUUUCUUCCGAAGGUAUUUAUACAAAUUCCUGAAAUUCUCUGCAUUUCACAUCAUAGUUAUAUAUAUUCAUAGUAGUUCACGGCUAGAAAAGAUUUAGUCUUGAAUUUCUUGAAACUUGUUGAAGGAUAUUUUUUUUUUCCGCCUAAAGCUCCGAUCUUUGAUGCUUUAGAAGUUGCCAUUUUAUAUCUCUUUUCAACCUAAAUUCUGUGAGAUACCUCUGCCCAUUAAUAAGUGAAAUCAAACAAAUAGAAUUUCUAAAUUUUGGGGAAAACAAAGAGGGACUUACCAGUUGUGGGUAGCGGCGCCGCCGAGGACGGAUGCUGAGCCGGUUGGAGCUUAGCGGCGACGGAGGGGCAGUGACAGUAGCUAUGGAUGUUUUCCUUAAUUUUUUAAGAUAGUAGAUAGGAAGGGAGAUGAGCUUGCUGUUUCUGAUUUGGGAAUUUGAGAUGAAAAUUGAGAGGAGUUAGAGAUGAGAGAGAGACGAGUUGUGCCGUUGAGGUUGUCUGUUCUUUUUGAGAUUUAUGAGAGAGAUACGAUGGUGGUGACAAGGAGUAUACUUUUUACCCUUUUAUUUACUUGUCAUUUUCUUUAGUUUCAUUUAUGUAAUGGGCCACUUUAAUUUCAUGAAUUGGGCCUCUAACUAAAUUCUUUGUAUAAUAGGCUUACUGGGGCAUUUGUCUAGAAGUGGACCAGUUUAAUUGUUUAGGUGGUUUGGUAGUAUGGUGUAUGGAGUUGUGUAGGAAGUUGUACGUGAGUUUGAUUGGGAGUAUAGUAUCUAUGUACUUUAUUCUUUUGGCAUAUGAUUUGUUUAGGCCAGUGAAUUGUUUGCUAAUUGCAAUCGAAUUUCGUUUCGGCCAAUUUAACAGUACUUGCUUAGUUUGGGGGUUUAAUUAAUUAUUUCGGGCCGUUUAUUUGGCGAUGAAUUAAAUCAUGAAAAUAUGAGAACCUUAUAUUUAUGGGAUUUAGAAUUUAGUCGCUUGGUCUAUUUUUUUUAGUAAUAACCGAGAGUUCAAGUAUGUCGGCCACCAUUGGGUUUUGUGUUUGAUUGAUGAGUCUGUUUUAUUAUUUAUGUACGAUGGAUAAAUUUUUCACACCCACAUAGGAUGCAUGCAUUGUCUUUAAUUAAAUUAUUUAGCAAAGCCUGAUUUUUUGCAUAUCAUGUUUUUAAAAAAAAGGGUGAACUUUUGCACGUUGUUGAGGUUGGGACAGGAAGUUGGUGGAGGAGCUAAGCUUUUGAGAUUGAGCGACGACGGGUGUGGAGGAUGUUGAGCAGAAUUCAUGGAUUAUUUAUGUUUGGCUUAAUAUUGUUAGAUAUGUCGUGUCUUCAUACUCGGCAUUUUCCGUGUCUUGAACGCUUCCGCUAGGUGUCUUUUCUUCAAAAUUGUUUUAGUAUUGAGAACCUAACUCUUUUCAAAAUUGUCUACUUUCUAGUCUUUAUUUCUUAGAAUUGGUACUUUGUUGAAAUGAUACUAUGUUGUUUUCUAAGUUA
This is a non-coding RNA of Salvia hispanica, 1662 nucleotides long. The record is from RefSeq and is a predicted model, not a curated record. Lineage: Eukaryota; Viridiplantae; Streptophyta; Magnoliopsida; Lamiales; Lamiaceae.